ACUUAACCGACUGCGCCACCCAGGCGCCCCAACAUCAUCCUCAUUCCUAAUAAAUUUCAAAAUUACAAUUAUGCCACAGAAUAGCAGAAGAUUUAUUUCCAGGUCUAUACACAGAAGGAAGUUGAACCUGGUGUUUACAUUUUUAGAUUGCUGGUCUGUGGCGUGUCGGUGUUGGGCAUACAGUAUGUUUGAGAGGCUAUGGGGAUUUUUAUUUCUUUAGAAAAUAAUUUAUAUAAAAAUGUGUGUGUGUAUCAUACCUAUGUAUUUAUAUAUACAUAUAUGAUACAGAUAUUUGCAAAAUAACUAUUAUCUGCCUAUCUAAUAAGUUUGAAUGGAUGCUUUGUGUAAGCCCUGGUGCACAUUGGCAUAAAACAGAGUCCUGCAGCACCCCACACAUGGGGGUGUCUUCAGGCUUUGGAAUCGGGCAAACCUGGGUUCAAAUCCUAGCUCUCUUUGUAGUCCCUGUGCUUUCUCUCCUUUGUGCCUUUGCUUCUGCAGCCCCUGAUGACUGGAAUGCCUCCUCCCUAACUCCACCUCCCUUUACUGGCUGACAUUUACUCAUUUUAAAGGACUCAUCUUGAGGGGAACCUCUCCAGGAAGCCAUCUUUAAUUCUUCCAGAUCAGGCAGAACAGCAGAUGUGUUAAUGAUGCCCUCUGGUCUCUAUUUACCUGGAAGUUUGGCAAAGGAAGACGAAGUAAAAGAGAUGCUGCUGACACUUGUCUCUUUGGACUGUGGACUCAGAUUGCACCUUUAGAGUGUCAAACUGUAAAUGAAUUGCGGUGGGCAUUGCCUUCAGCAAAAGAAGGAAAUGAAAUGAUUUUGGAGUGUUUUCAGGAGGUUUGCCUCAUCCUCAAGAGAAUCAUGUCUCAUCAGUAAGAUAUCUCUCGAAAACUUUUCAUUUUUUGCAGAGAUACUCUUAAUUGGGUUAAGGAAAUCACU
This is a long non-coding RNA of Prionailurus viverrinus (fishing cat), 940 nucleotides long. RefSeq lists it as uncharacterized. Lineage: Eukaryota; Metazoa; Chordata; Mammalia; Carnivora; Felidae. The record is from RefSeq and is a predicted model, not a curated record. The transcript is spliced from 3 exons.